Neoarius graeffei (lesser salmon catfish) is the source of this 4768-nucleotide RNA transcript. It is a transcript of the gene named suppressor of cytokine signaling 6b, with no coding region annotated. The record is from RefSeq and is a predicted model, not a curated record. The transcript is spliced from 3 exons. NCBI's taxonomy places the organism in Eukaryota, Metazoa, Chordata, Actinopteri, Siluriformes, Ariidae.
CUCAGUAAGUCGGAGAGGAAUGCUAACUCGCUCAGAGGAAAAUUAUACAUUAAUAUUUUCGAAGCAGUUACUCUGAAAUCCAAAACACAAACACAUGGAUGUUGUAUGUAUAAAUGUUGUUUUUGUAUUAAAUGUAUGCAAAUAUGUAGUUUUUCAGACCGACCUAAAAUUAUAGCUAACCUGCGAGCUAAAUUAAGCUAAGCUAAGCUAAAUAAGGCUGUCAAAGAGCUCUCGUGCGUCACUACGUGGCCGCGCAUGCGUGAGAAUGGCGCGCACGCGCACUUCAGACGAGUAGGAGCCCCAUGAUGGGGUUUUAGCUGAGCGCUCGGAAGCGUCGCGCAGCGCUGCGAGCCUCGGAGUCCCUGCGCUUUCUGAAGAACAGCAUGAGGGCUGCGGUGAGAUGACAGAGUCCCUGAGGAGCUGCGGGUGACGAGGCGUGACCGUCUCAUGUGAUUAGCGAUGUGAAAGUGUUCACAUUCUCCACCUUCAUCUUUGUUGUCGUUCUUCUUCUCUGGAACAUUUUUGUGUGACUUGUUCUCACACAAGGAAUAACCAGGAUGAAGAAAUUCAGUCUUAACACAAUCAGAAAGUCGCUGAGCAUAAAAGGGAAAGAAGAGAACGAGUACGCGGUGUCACAGCCAGACCUGUCCACUGGUUUUCCUUCAGAACCUUCUCUGUAUGGAGGCUGCUACAGCAAGGACCUCAUGGGAACGAAUUUGGAUAACGAGGAGCUGAAAGGAUCUAAAGGUCACUCUAAAAGCGAGAGUCUGAUGGGAACCCUGAAGAGGAGACUCUCAACGAAGCAGAAACCAAAGGUCAAAGCAAGUUCUCCAUCUGUGCGCUCGAUCGAUGAUGAUGCGUUCUCCUCAUCGUCAGAGCCCAUUAUGUUUCACGACCUGAAAUCGCAGCAUUCUUCUCGCUCGACGUCGUUACAGAGCCACCAUUACAGCCCGACGCCGUGGCCUCUCAGAGUGACGAACUCGGAGGAAGCGUGCAACGCCAGGGUCAACGCUCUGAUCCCAUCCAGCACCUCGAGCUUGUCUCUUAAUGCUGUCCAGAAGAACUUCAUGGGAGACGAGAUGUUUGAUGGUCAGAGUCCGGAUCCUCACAAUGGCGAUCUGGAAAUGGAAGAUCACGUGCCUGUGGUCAUCGGCCUCACCGCUCAGGAAUACAUUCAGUACACGAUGCCUUUAGAAGAUGGACUUUUUACCGAAGACGAACCGCCUCGGUCUUUUUGCCUGGACAGAACGUCGCCGAUGGACGUGUUGCCUCAGAGUGAAUGUUCUCUUCACGCUGACGAAGACUCCAUCAGUCAUGACCUCCUUUCUCCUGAUGUUUUCAUGGAGCCGUCAGUAAACCGGCUCAUUCUGAACACCGCUAAUGUUCUGCUGCAGAGCUCACGCCUAGAGUCUCCUCUGCUACCUCCACUUCCUGUUAGUAGCCUUCCUGGGUUCCAUGGUGCCCAGGUAGCUGAUUCGGUUCUGGAGCAUCUCAGCUUUGAUCCGAACUCGGCGCCAGGAGUCCAGCGGGUGUACGACGCGGUGCAGACCAGUGGGCCGAUGGUGGUCACGAGCCUCACGGUGGAGCUGAAGAAACUGGCCAAGCAGGGAUGGUACUGGGGUCCAAUCACGCGCUGGGAAGCUGAAGAGAAGCUCGCAAACCUUCCGGAUGGUUCCUUUUUGGUUCGAGACAGUUCAGACGAGCGCUAUCUUCUCAGUUUGAGUUUUCGGUCGCAAGGAAAGACGCUUCAUACUCGAAUUGAGCAUUCCAACGGCUCCUUCAGCUUCUACGAGCAGCCCGACAUGGAAGGCCACACGUCCAUCGUCGAGCUCAUCGACAAUUCCAUCAGGGAUUCAGAGAAUGGAGCGUUCUGCUACUCCAGAUCGCGCUUACCGGGCUCUGUGACAUACCCCGUCAGACUGACCAAUCCCGUCUCGCGGUUUAUGCAGGUGCGAUCGCUGCAGUACUCGUGCCGGUUCGUGAUCCGUCAGUACACGCGCAUAGACCUAAUCCAGAAACUGCCUUUACCGAACAAAAUGAAAGAUUACCUGCAGGAGAAGCACUACUGAGCCCACAGGACGCACGAUGCUUCUUGCACUUUUUAGGAUGUCAUAAUGAACAAACCGUCUCUUUGUGGCUCAUCGCGGCAUUAAAUUCCACGUUUUUAACUUUUUCACCAGAGGAAACAUUUUUUGUUCAGUGUUAGAUGAAAUUAAUCAAACAAAAAAACCCUGAGAAACUGUAAAGAAUCGUGAACUCCUCUGCCCUGAAGACAUCAGAAAGUUUACAGUUCCAGCUUCACCUCUGACUGAUACACCGCGCUCGCGCUGGAGACUCCUUCCCUACAGAACACUAACAUUGUCGGUGAUUGAUUUAUUUAAAAAAUCUGUUUAUUAUUAGCUGAGCGUCCGGUUGUGCACAUCCCUGUGAAUGAGCUGUUGCUAUGGAAACGAUACCGUAUUAGUCCGAGUGCAUUAAUAUAAUCCUGUGAUGUGCAGCUACGCUACAGUCAGAGAAUUAAUCAACGUCGUUAACACUGACCAAUCACAAUCCAGAAUUCCAGUGCAUCCAGAGUGCUGUGUUGUCAGUGAACUCAUCAGGAUUGAAUUAUGGGAUGUCGCGCCCAGAUUUGGAUGCAUGAUGUCUGAAAUAAGACUCGCACGUUCGGUCUUCUGAUAGGUUAUGUUGAAUAUCGUAUCGCAGAUUAUUGGCACGUGCCUGAUUUUGUUUGCGUUUCUUGGUCAUGUGAUUUAACACUGUUUAUUUUGUUGUUGUUCCAAUUACUUUGUUGGAAUUUUAUUAUACUUGGAUGAAAUAUUGUGUUCAGUGGGCGUGUGCUGAUAUGACACCUUUAUAUCACGGAAAUGCGAAUCGAUAAUAAAUUACGUUUUGUUUUAACAUCCAACUGCGAGUAACUUUGGAGUUGUUUGGUGUUAAUAAUGAGAUUUAAAAAAAAAUUUAUCAGAAUAUAAUUUCUCAAUAUCAGGACCACACCAUGUGACUUUUCCCUCCUGUCUUGAAAUAAAUACUGCGAAGAGUUCAGGAUGACAUCACACACAAUUCCGCAGGUCUCUCAUAAUGACCUGAUCCAAAACAACUUCUCGUUAUUGGUACUUUUUUAUUUUUCUACCUGAGCUUGAUCCUGCUCUUGUAGUUUAGGAGUGGUGAUGGAGUGAUGUUGGAGUCUGUGGUCAUGGACGACGGAUGUACAUGUGAAUGUUUGUCACGCUGCUUGUCUCUUUUAGCGCCGUGAUGUUCUACGUGAGCACUGGUGCACAGACGAUGUGUUCCGGUGGCUUCUCUCGUUACUUGAAUCCUUGUUGUGCUUUGCUCUGAGGUUUAAAUGUGUGAUGAUUCAAUCUGCCCAUUUUAUUUCUCGUAUCAGUUUAUUUGCUGCUCACGUCAUCACCAUGAGUGCACGGAGUGUUUCGCUCGCUAAUCACUCGGUUUAGGUAAAAACUAAACCCGUACGUUAUUGAGUUUAUCAAGUUUGCAUCGUCAGCUAGAUAAAUUUAACCCUUGGAACAAUUUCUUGUGAUCUGCACCAAAAAAUAUAAUGCUAUGAUUCAUAUUCCUGAGCUGGUGUGGGCGGAGCUUCAUCACAUUCAGUAGACGUGUAGUGAAAUAUCUCGCGCACAGGUUUGUUUUUUUCCCCUCACUCUGUAACACCGUUGUUGUUUUUAUAUUGUUUGUGAAACAGAUGAAUGACGGUGUAAAAUUCGUGGUGAUAUUGCGUUACAUUUUACUGAUCACAACGUUGUAUUUUAAAGCUGCAAUGUGUCGCUUUUUAUCGUCCAGACACCACUUUUAUUAUAAUCGACCUGUCAAGCCACGCCCCUCCAGAUUUUAUAAGAUAAAUCUGAGUGACGCACCCAGAAAAAAUUUGCAUCUUGUGUGAAUCUGUAAAAAAUUUGUGACAUUAAAGACUAAAUCCACUCUCAGAAUUCCAACUCGGGUGUUUUACGCUCGCCAUGUUUUAAAGAAUUUUUUCUUUAAUUAAAUGUUAGUUUAAAAAUAUAUAACAAAAAAAGUACUGCAGCUUUAAAAUAACGCUGUGAUUUUGUUGUGUACCAGUUCUCAUUGUGCUGAAUUUUAACAGAAAAAUGAAGAAUUAUCAUUUCGUCCAUUCUGUCAAUUUUUUUUUCCUACCGUAUGAUGAUUCUGAGAAUGGUGUACGAAGUUUUUUUCCAAAAUAAUUUGUCCAAAAUCUGGACAGUUGUGUUUAUGCUGCUUUUUAAAUGUGAGCACAAUAAUAAUGCUACCUGCGAAGACGUCUUCGUCAUGAACGUCUCAAACACGAGGUCGAGGAUACUUUAAACUUCCCAUGAUUUAAAAAUGUUGUACGUGAAUAUUCCGAUAUAUCGUGUAAGUGAUCAGCACAGGCCGAGCUGAGCGCUGAUUUGUUUCCUGUUUUUAGGGAAGGGAUCAUUUUGUUUUGGGAUUUUCUUCAUUUUGUCCUCGUUGGUACUGUGUGUGUGUGUGUGUGUGUGUGUGUGUGUUGGACUUCUUGGCUGUCCCUCAGUCCACAUGUUUUAUGGAUAAAUAUUUUUGAAUGAAAUUUCUGUUCAUGGAGGAAAGGUGAAGGUGCGAUUGUCCCGUGUUGUUUUUUGUUCCGUUAACACACAUGAGGAAGAACUCGUCCAGGUUUUCAGACAUUUUCACACGAACGUAUUUUAAAUCUGGGGAAAGGAAAGGAAAGCUGUGUGCUGGUUUUUAUUAUCGCACAUUUUGAGCUCAAUGUUUUGUAUCUCCUCUGAAAUGUAAAUAA